GAUGAACGCUGGCGGCGUGCCUAAUACAUGCGAGUCGAGCGAACGGACGAGAAGCUUGCUUCUCUGAUGUUAGCGGCGGACGGGUGAGUAACACGUGGAUAACCUACCUAUAAGACUGGGAUAACUUCGGGAAACCGGAGCUAAUACCGGAUAAUAUUUUGAACCGCAUGGUUCAAAAGUGAAAGACGGUCUUGCUGUCACUUAUAGAUGGAUCCGCGCUGCAUUAGCUAGUUGGUAAGGUAACGGCUUACCAAGGCAACGAUGCAUAGCCGACCUGAGAGGGUGAUCGGCCACACUGGAACUGAGACACGGUCCAGACUCCUACGGGAGGCAGCAGUAGGGAAUCUUCCGCAAUGGGCGCAAGCCUGACGGAGCAACGCCGCGUGAGUGAUGAAGGUCUUCGGAUCGUAAAACUCUGUUAUUAGGGAAGAAAAUAUGUGUAAGUAACUGUGCACAUCUUGACGGUACCUAAUCAGAAAGCCACGGCUAACUACGUG
RNAcentral lists this ribosomal RNA (497 nucleotides) under uncultured bacterium. RNAcentral describes it as "partial 16S ribosomal RNA". It matches the Rfam family "Bacterial small subunit ribosomal RNA", at positions 28 to 507 of the family's 1533-position model. The record is from RNAcentral.